AGCGAACGCUGGCGGCAGGCCUAAUACAUGCAAGUCGAGCGCCCUUUCGGGGGAGCGGCGGACGGGUGAGUAACGCGUGGGAACGUGCCCUUUGGUACGGAACAACUGAGGGAAACUUCAGCUAAUACCGUAUGUGCCCUUCGGGGGAAGGAUUUAUCGCCUUUGGAGCAGCCCGCGUUGGAUUAGGUAGUUGGUGAGGUAAAGGCUCACCAAGCCGACGAUCCAUAGCUGGUCUGAGAGGAUGACCAGCCACACUGGGACUGAGACACGGCCCAGACUCCUACGGGAGGCAGCAGUAGGGAAUCUUGCGCAAUGGGCGAAAGCCUGACGCAGCCAUGCCGCGUGUAUGAUGAAGGUCUUAGGAUUGUAAAAUACUUUCACCGGGGAAGAUAAUGACGGUACCCGGAGAAGAAGCCCCGGCUAACUUCGUGCCAGCCGCCGCCGUAA
Molecule: ribosomal RNA, 447 nt
Filed under: uncultured bacterium
Lineage: Bacteria
Description: partial 16S ribosomal RNA
Rfam family: Bacterial small subunit ribosomal RNA
Source: RNAcentral